RNAcentral lists this ribosomal RNA (497 nucleotides) under uncultured bacterium. Its description in RNAcentral is "partial 16S ribosomal RNA". It matches the Rfam family "Bacterial small subunit ribosomal RNA", at positions 28 to 507 of the family's 1533-position model. The record is from RNAcentral.
GAUGAACGCUGGCGGCGUGCCUAAUACAUGCAAGUCGAGCGAACAGACGAGGAGCUUGCUCCUCUGACGUUAGCGGCGGACGGGUGAGUAACACGUGUAUAACCUACCUAUAAGACUGGGAUAACUUCGGGAAACCGGAGCUAAUACCGGAUAAUAUAUUGAACCGCAUGGUUCAAUAGUGAAAGACGGUUUUGCUGUCACUUAUAGAUGGAUCCGCGCCGCAUUAGCUAGUUGGUAAGGUAACGGCUUACCAAGGCAACGAUGCGUAGCCGACCUGAGAGGGUGAUCGGCCACACUGGAACUGAGACACGGUCCAGACUCCUACGGGAGGCAGCAGUAGGGAAUCUUCCGCAAUGGGCGAAAGCCUGACGGAGCAACGCCGCGUGAGUGAUGAAGGUCUUCGGAUCGUAAAACUCUGUUAUUAGGGAAGAACAAAUGUGUAAGUAACUAUGCACGUCUUGACGGUACCUAAUCAGAAAGCCACGGCUAACUACGUG